Molecule: ribosomal RNA, 459 nt
Filed under: uncultured bacterium
Lineage: Bacteria
Description: partial 16S ribosomal RNA
Rfam family: Bacterial small subunit ribosomal RNA
Source: RNAcentral
CCUACGGGUGGCAGCAGUGAGGAAUAUUGGUCAAUGGGCGCGAGCCUGAACCAGCCAAGUCGCGUGAGGGAAGACGGUCCUAUGGAUUGUAAACCUCUUUUGUCGGGGAGCAAAAGACGCCACGCGUGGCCUUCCGAGAGUACCCGAAGAAAAAGCAUCGGCUAACUCCGUGCCAGCAGCCGCGGUAAUACGGAGGAUGCGAGCGUUAUCCGGAUUUAUUGGGUUUAAAGGGUGCGCAGGCGGAAGAUCAAGUCAGCGGUAAAAGUCCGAGGCUCAACCUCGUCGCGACGUUGAAACUGGUUUUCUUGAGUGAGUGAGAAGUAUGCGGAAUGCGUGGUGUAGCGGUGAAAUGCAUAGAUAUCACGCAGAACUCCGAUUGCGAAGGCAGCAUACCGGCGCUCAACUGACGCUCAUGCACGAAAGUGUGGGUAUCGAACAGGAUUAGAUACCCCGGUAGUC